GGUUAAGCGACUAAGCGUACACGGUGGAUGCCCUGGCAGUCAGAGGCGAUGAAGGACGUGCUAAUCUGCGAAAAGCGUCGGUAAGGUGAUAUGAACCGUUAUAACCGGCGAUGUCCGAAUGGGGAAACCCAGUGCAAUUCGUUGCACUAUCGUUAACUGAAUACAUAGGUUAACGAGGCGAACCGGGGGAACUGAAACAUCUAAGUACCCCGAGGAAAAAAAAUCAACCGAGAUUCCCCCAGUAGCGGCGAGCGAACGGGGAGCAGCCCAGAGUCUGAAUCAGCUUGUGUGUUAGUGGAACGGUCUGGAAAGUCCGACGGUACAGGGUGAUAGUCCCGUACACCAAAAUGCACAGGUUGUGAACUCGAAGAGUAGGGCGGGACACGUGGUAUCCUGUCUGAAUAUGGGGGGACCAUCCUCCAAGGCUAAAUACUCCUGACUGACCGAUAGUGAACCAGUACCGUGAGGGAAAGGCGAAAAGAACCCCGGCGAGGGGAGUGAAAAAGAACCUGAAACCGUGUACGUACAAGCAGUGGGAGCACCUUCGGGUGUGACUGCGUACCUUUUGUAUAAUGGGUCAGCGACUUAUAUUCUGUAGCAAGGUUAACCGUAUAGGGGAGCCGCAGGGAAACCGAGUCUUAACUGGGCGUUAAGUUGCAGGGUAUAGACCCGAAACCCGGUGAUCUAGCCAUGGGCAGGUUGAAGGUUGGGUAACACUAACUGGAGGACCGAACCGACUAAUGUUGAAAAAUUAGCGGAUGACUUGUGGCUGGGGGUGAAAGGCCAAUCAAACCGGGAGAUAGCUGGUUCUCCCCGAAAGCUAUUUAGGUAGCGCCUCGUGAAUUCAUCUUCGGGGGUAGAGCACUGUUUCGGCUAGGGGGUCAUCCCGACUUACCAACCCGAUGCAAACUACGAAUACCGAAGAAUGUUAUCACGGGAGACACACGGCGGGUGCUAACGUCCGUCGUGAAGAGGGAAACAACCCAGACCGCCAGCUAAGGUCCCAAAGUCAUGGUUAAGUGGGAAACGAUGUGGGAAGGCACAGACAGCCAGGAUGUUGGCUUAGAAGCAGCCAUCAUUUAAAGAAAGCGUAAUAGCUCACUGGUCGAGUCGGCCUGCGCGGAAGAUGUAACGGGGCUAAACCAUGCACCGAAGCUGCGGCAGCGACACUAUGUGUUGUUGGGUAGGGGAGCGUUCUGUAAGCCUGCGAAGGUGUGCUGUGAGGCAUGCUGGAGGUAUCAGAAGUGCGAAUGCUGACAUAAGUAACGAUAAAGCGGGUGAAAAGCCCGCUCGCCGGAAGACCAAGGGUUCCUGUCCAACGUUAAUCGGGGCAGGGUGAGUCGACCCCUAAGGCGAGGCCGAAAGGCGUAGUCGAUGGGAAACAGGUUAAUAUUCCUGUACUUGGUGUUACUGCGAAGGGGGGACGGAGAAGGCUAUGUUAGCCGGGCGACGGUUGUCCCGGUUUAAGCAUGUAGGCUGGUUAUCCAGGCAAAUCCGGAUAAUCAAGGCUGAGGUGUGAUGACGAGGCACUACGGUGCUGAAGUAACAAAUGCCCUGCUUCCAGGAAAAGCCUCUAAGCAUCAGGUAACAUCAAAUCGUACCCCAAACCGACACAGGUGGUCAGGUAGAGAAUACCAAGGCGCUUGAGAGAACUCGGGUGAAGGAACUAGGCAAAAUGGUGCCGUAACUUCGGGAGAAGGCACGCUGGUGUGUAGGUGAAGUCCCUGCGGAUGGAGCUGAGACCAGUCGAAGAUACCAGCUGGCUGCAACUGUUUAUUAAAAACACAGCACUGUGCAAACACGAAAGUGGACGUAUACGGUGUGACGCCUGCCCGGUGCCGGAAGGUUAAUUGAUGGGGUUAUCCGUAAGGAGAAGCUCUUGAUCGAAGCCCCGGUAAACGGCGGCCGUAACUAUAACGGUCCUAAGGUAGCGAAAUUCCUUGUCGGGUAAGUUCCGACCUGCACGAAUGGCGUAAUGAUGGCCAGGCUGUCUCCACCCGAGACUCAGUGAAAUUGAACUCGCUGUGAAGAUGCAGUGUACCCGCGGCAAGACGGAAAGACCCCGUGAACCUUUACUAUAGCUUGACACUGAACAUUGAGCCUUGAUGUGUAGGAUAGGUGGGAGGCUUUGAAGCGUGGACGCCAGUCUGCGUGGAGCCAACCUUGAAAUACCACCCUUUAAUGUUUGAUGUUCUAACGUUGGCCCCUUACCGGGGUUGCGGACAGUGUCUGGUGGGUAGUUUGACUGGGGCGGUCUCCUCCCAAAGCGUAACGGAGGAGCACGAAGGUUAGCUAAUCCUGGUCGGACAUCAGGAGGUUAGUGCAAUGGCAUAAGCUAGCUUGACUGCGAGCGUGACGGCGCGAGCAGGUGCGAAAGCAGGUCAUAGUGAUCCGGUGGUUCUGAAUGGAAGGGCCAUCGCUCAACGGAUAAAAGGUACUCCGGGGAUAACAGGCUGAUACCGCCCAAGAGUUCAUAUCGACGGCGGUGUUUGGCACCUCGAUGUCGGCUCAUCACAUCCUGGGGCUGAAGUAGGUCCCAAGGGUAUGGCUGUUCGCCAUUUAAAGUGGUACGCGAGCUGGGUUUAGAACGUCGUGAGACAGUUCGGUCCCUAUCUGCCGUGGGCGCUGGAGAAUUGAGGGGGGCUGCUCCUAGUACGAGAGGACCGGAGUGGACGCAUCACUGGUGUUCGGGUUGUCAUGCCAAUGGCACUGCCCGGUAGCUAAAUGCGGAAGAGAUAAGUGCUGAAAGCAUCUAAGCACGAAACUUGCCCCGAGAUGAGUUCUCCCUGAGACUUUAAGUCUCCUGAAGGAACGUUAAAGACGAUGACGUUGAUAGGCCGGGUGUGUAAGCGCAGCGAUGCGUUGAGCUAACCGGUACUAAUGAACCGUGAGGCUUAACCUU
Molecule: ribosomal RNA, 2902 nt
Filed under: Klebsiella pneumoniae
Lineage: Bacteria; Pseudomonadati; Pseudomonadota; Gammaproteobacteria; Enterobacterales; Enterobacteriaceae
Description: 23S ribosomal RNA
Rfam family: Bacterial large subunit ribosomal RNA
Source: RNAcentral